This 77-nucleotide transfer RNA is filed under the name Deltaproteobacteria bacterium. RNAcentral's name for it is "tRNA-Arg". It matches the Rfam family "tRNA". Rfam says of the family: Transfer RNA (tRNA) molecules are approximately 80 nucleotides in length. Their secondary structure includes four short double-helical elements and three loops (D, anti-codon, and T loops). Further hydrogen bonds mediate the characteristic L-shaped molecular structure. tRNAs have two regions of fundamental functional importance: the anti-codon, which is responsible for specific mRNA codon recognition, and the 3' end, to which the tRNAs corresponding amino acid is attached (by aminoacyl-tRNA synthetases). tRNAs cope with the degeneracy of the genetic code in two manners: having more than one tRNA (with a specific anti-codon) for a particular amino acid; and 'wobble' base-pairing, i.e. permitting non-standard base-pairing at the 3rd anti-codon position. Lineage: Bacteria; Pseudomonadati; Myxococcota; Myxococcia. The record is from RNAcentral. RNAcentral also lists the same sequence under 1 other name.
GCACCGGUAGCUCAGUUGGAUAGAGUACUUGACUACGAAUCAAGUGGUCGGAGGUUCAAAUCCUUCCCGGUGCACCA